RNAcentral lists this ribosomal RNA (501 nucleotides) under Triticum aestivum (bread wheat). Its description in RNAcentral is "partial small subunit ribosomal RNA". The record is from RNAcentral. Lineage: Eukaryota; Viridiplantae; Streptophyta; Magnoliopsida; Poales; Poaceae.
AUGUUCAUGCAGACACGAAUUGGACUGAGAAAUGCUAACAGAGGAGGAGAAGACCAUGCAAGUCCUUGGGGUUGGGUGCGGCAACUCGCGGCUCGAAGACAAUCUUUUGUGGUGGGGCGUCGCUGCCGGCGGCGGCACCUGCACAGACCGUCUCGCUGGGAACGAAGAGAUGCUCCCCUGAUUUGGAGCUGUAGAAAGGAGGUGGUUGCAGACGCAAAGUGGGGACACACAACUCCCAGUCAUAAUAUUCUUUAUCUUGGCUCGUUGUUUGGGGAUGGACGCAUCAAUCUGAUCGCGCUCUCCUCCAUGCCAAACGGAUCCUUGGUUCGGAGGUGCGCGGCGCCGACGAUGACAACCUUUCUAUCGACGCAAGGGCAGCAGGAGCUCAUGACGCUGUUGAUGCCACCACCAUGCACAGGGUUGAUGCAAGGUGGGACAAGUAUGUGUACCAGUGCGAUCACUAAUGGGGAGAACAUAAAACUUCAAUUGAGGGCAUUGUGA